RNAcentral lists this ribosomal RNA (93 nucleotides) under Prevotella sp. Lineage: Bacteria; Pseudomonadati; Bacteroidota; Bacteroidia; Bacteroidales; Prevotellaceae. The record is from RNAcentral.
GGUCCCACCUCUUCCCAUUCCGAACAGAGAAGUUAAGCCCGCCUGCGCCGAUGGUACUGCAAUGCAAUGCGGGAGAGUAGGAGGCCGCCACUU